UACGGAGGGGGCUAGCGUUUGUUCGGAAUUACUGGGCGUAAAGCGCACGUAGGCGGCUUUGUAAGUUAGAGGUGAAAGCCCAGGGCUUAACCCUGGAAUUGCCUUUAAGACUGCAUCGCUAGAAUUGUGGAGAGGUAAGUGGAAUUCCGAGUGUAGAGGUGAAAUUCGUAGAUAUUCGGAAGAACACCAGUGGCGAAGGCGACUUACUGGACACAUAUUGACGCUGAGGUGCGAAAGCGUGGGGAGCAAACAGG
RNAcentral lists this ribosomal RNA (254 nucleotides) under uncultured bacterium. Its description in RNAcentral is "partial 16S ribosomal RNA". It matches the Rfam family "Bacterial small subunit ribosomal RNA", at positions 524 to 776 of the family's 1533-position model. The record is from RNAcentral.